Mastomys coucha (southern multimammate mouse) is the source of this 1368-nucleotide long non-coding RNA. RefSeq lists it as uncharacterized. The transcript is spliced from 5 exons. Lineage: Eukaryota; Metazoa; Chordata; Mammalia; Rodentia; Muridae. The record is from RefSeq and is a predicted model, not a curated record.
UUUAAAACAAGGAAGGACAAGGCACAACCUUCAAAGACAUCUCCCAAUUCUUCCAGAAAGAAUUUGGAAAGAAAAGCAAAGCAAUAGCAGCUCAGGCACUGAGGUGUGAAUAUGACAAUAGAAACGGUUUUAAGGAUGUGGACUUUUACUGUGUGCAAUGAUCUAUAGCUGAAGCACAGAACAGGCUGCUCUGGACUCCACACAGACACUAACAACCGCUAACAGCCAAAGCUUUCAGAGACAAUUCAAGAACUUCUCCUUAUUUAGUGCUAAAAUAUCUGAGCUGCUAUCAAUUCUUCACACGAGAAAUCUUGUAUUAGCUUAACAAUUGCAUGGAAGAAGGUUCUGGAUUGUGGAGUAGCCAAUCAUCUGCAGUGGUCUCCAACUUUGGCUAUGUACCAGGCUUUCCUAUAACUUAAAAAAAAAUUGAAUGUAGUACUGUGUGGUCCCUCCCUGGAAUUAAGAAAUAGAAUUUCCUACGUUUGAGUCCAAAAACCACUGGGCUGAAGUUUUUAAAAGGCAGACAUCAGGCAAAGAAAAGGGAUUGGCUUGGUGCCAGGAAAAUUAAAUCACAUCCACGAGACACCUCUUCUAAAAUUAGAUGGGUUCCUUAAACUAGAGGUGAAGAGUAGAGUUUCUGAAGACUUUCCAUGUGGUUGAUGCCAGGACACUAUUCUGAAACAAUAAUUACAGAUAAGCAUCAGAAACUGAGAAAAGAUAACUGCCAGCCCGAAGUGGAAAGAAGAUCCCUGUCUUAAUUACUCUGCUCAGAUGCUAGUGCUUUAAUAGCAGAAAGAUGAAGAAAUGUGACUGAGUAAAGCUACCCGUGGUCAUGAGGCCAGAAGAAGGCAUGAGAUCUCCUAGAACUGGAGUUCCAGAUGGUUUGGGAGCCACCAUGUUGGUGCUGUGAACUGAACAGAGGUCCUCCAGUGAACAGGGAGUGCUCUUAACUACUAGAGCUGUCUCUCCAACCUGAAGCCCUGCCUCUUCAGAGCCCAUUCAGCUAGAAAGCAACAAUAGAAUUCAUGGGUGACAUUAGCAGCCAUAUGAUUCAAUCACUGCUCACUAAACCACCAAGUGUACACCACUCAACUUUGGGGGACUUGCCAUAGCCAAACCGUAAGAUCAACUUGAACAAUUGAGCUUCUGUCUACUUCUAUCUAGACUAUACCUAAUUGGCUUUGUCACCUGCCAGGAGGCAAGAACUCAAGCUCCUCUGUCCCCUUGAUCUUCUUAUCUCCAUGUACUCUGCUCAUCUCCCCUGACACAGUGUCCCAGGACCUCUUGAACUUGUAAGUGUGAGCCCAGAUUCAAAAUUUUUCCUAUCUCUUGGAUUAAAUCAAAGUUGCAUUUGCAAUUAGUAGUGCA